AAAGCCGUUGCAGUCUCUCUUUCUCUCCUUUAGGUCUUUCAAAUCCACUCACUCUCUCUCUCUCCCCCCCUUUUUCCGUCUCCAAAAUCCAGACUCAUCUUCUUCUUCCCACCGAUCUAGAUCUAUGUUUUUUUUUGUUCUUUAACGGAAGGAGGAAAAAUCUCCGUUGAUUGAUUUUAUGAUUAAAGGCAUUUUAUGUUCUUUCAAACCAAUAAAAUAAAAAAUAUCCCAAAUGAUUUACAAUCAUAUUCAUUCAGCCUAACAUGUUUCCAAGUCCCUGUACCGAGCCUUUUCUGUGAUCGAUGACUUGUCUGAACACUAUCAAUUCUGGAUGAUGGAUCUAAGAAUGGUUCCGCUUCUCUGUUGCUGGAGAUGGAUAAUUAUUACACGUUCAAAACUCGGUUGGAAUAGAGUUGUGCAUCAUUUGCUUUUGUUAUGAAUCUUAAUGAAUGGGAAAGAAUCUUUAGGGUCUUGAGUUAGUUGUACAAGAAGGAACGGUUUUAUGGUGUAAGUUUGUGUUAAUUAAUGUAAAUUGUUUGAAUGUAAUGGUGGAGACCUGUUUGUACAAGGAUAAAGUGAAGUAAUAACAAUGUAAUAGUUUUUUGGUUAGGGAGAAGAGACCACUGGGGGACUGCCCCAGGGCUCUUCCUCAUGCGUGUGUGGGUGGUGUGUUGCUUUCUUUCUCUCAUUUCUUUUCCUCUCAACAUUCUGUCUUCAAUAUUUGUCUUACUUUCCCGUCUCCACGUUCUUCUUUACUUUUUCCCUUUUCCACAUUUCCUAUCUAUUUUCACCUUU
Long non-coding RNA from Ziziphus jujuba (common jujube), 795 nucleotides. RefSeq lists it as uncharacterized. Lineage: Eukaryota; Viridiplantae; Streptophyta; Magnoliopsida; Rosales; Rhamnaceae. The record is from RefSeq and is a predicted model, not a curated record. The transcript is spliced from 3 exons.